RNAcentral lists this long non-coding RNA (1746 nucleotides) under Canis lupus familiaris (dog). RNAcentral describes it as "lncRNA (ENSCAFG00030015387.1)". Lineage: Eukaryota; Metazoa; Chordata; Mammalia; Carnivora; Canidae. The record is from RNAcentral.
AUGGGGCGGGCUGCUUUCUGGGGGGCCCCCUUGGGGGACGCUGUGAGGCGGAGGCCGCCCUCGCUCCGGAUCCCGAGGCUGCGCCCCAGGAGGCCGCGUCCCAGCGCCCAGGAGAGCGCGCCCGGGAGCGCCCAGGACGUGACCCCGCCUCCCCCGGGGCCCGCUGCGGCCCGACCCCGAGCCUUUGCCGAACCCCGCUUCGGGCUUUCCCGCGCCUGCGGGGGACCCCGCGAGGCCCCCAUCCCCCCCCCCCCCGCCCAGCGAGUCGGGUCCAGGCUCCGGGAGGCGCAGGGCCAGGCCCAGCCCGAGGCCCGGGACUCCGCGCUCACCGCUCGGCCCGGCUCCGCCCCGGAGGCCGCCCCCGCGCUGCUGAGCUCCGGGCGCCAAGGGGCAGUGUCUCCGCGCCCGGCCCGGGGGAGCAGGGUGGGGGGUCAUCGCCCCCCGCAGCCCCCCAGCAGGGUCGGGGUGUCACCCCCCGCGGCCCCGCAGCCCCCCAGCAGGGUCGGGGUGUCACCCCCCGCGGCCCCGCAGCCCCCCAGCAGGGUCGGGGUGUCACCCCCCCGCAGCCCCCAGCAGGGUCGGGGUGUCACCCCCCGCGGCCCCGCAGCCCCCCAGCAGGGUCGGGGUGUCACCCCCCGCGGCCCCGCAGCCCCCCAGCAGGGUCGGGGUGUCACCCCCCGCGGCCCCGCAGCCCCCCAGCAGGGUCGGGGUGUCACCCCCCGCGGCCCCGCAGCCCCCCAGCAGGGUCGGGGUGUCACCCCCCCGCAGCCCCCCAGCAGGGUCGGGGUGUCACCCCCCCGCAGCCCCCCAGCAGGGUCGGGGUGUCACCCCCCGCGGCCCCGCAGCCCCCCAGCAGGGUCGGGGUGUCACCCCCCGCGGCCCCGCAGCCCCCCAGCAGGGUCGGGGUGUCACCCCCCGCGGCCCCGCAGCCCCCCAGCAGGGUCGGGGUGUCACCCCCCGCGGCCCCGCAGCCCCCCAGCAGGGUCGGGGUGUCACCCCCCCGCAGCCCCCCAGCAGGGUCGGGGUGUCACCCCCCCGCGGCCCCGCAGCCCCCCAGCAGGGUCGGGGUGUCACUCCCCGCGGCCCCGCAGCCCCCCAGCAGGGUCGGGGUGUCACCCCCCGCGGCCCCGCAGCCCCCCAGCAGGGUCGGGGUGUCACCCCCCCGGCCCCGCAGCCCCCCAGCAGGGUCCGGCGGUCCAGGGAACCCGCGGGCGCUCACCUCGCGGCGGGCGGCGAAGGCGGGGCGCAGGGGCCGAGCCCCGGGCGGACCCACGGGCCGAGGGCCGGGCGCAGGCGGCGGAAGGCGCGCGCAGCCAUGGCGGGGCGGCGGGGCGGGCUCGGGCUCGGGCUCGGGCUCGGGCUCGGGGCGGGCUCGGCGCCGAGGGGCCUACGGGGCGGGCGGGCGGGAGCGCUGGGGCCUCGGCCGCGUCCCGGGCUUGGGGUUUCGCGCCGCGGCGGGCGCUCAGGGGCGGCCUCUGCGCGGCGGGGACGGGCGGGGGGGGGGGGGGGGGGGGGGGAGGGGGCGGGAAGCCCGAGGAGGCGGGAGCAGCCCCGGACCGAAGCUUCUUGGAAGGGGAUCCCGGUAGCCCCGUGGAGAGUCCUCAGCGGGGCGGGCGCGCAGGGAUCCAGGCCGACCUGCCCGAAGUGUGGCCUCGCUGCCUGGGGUCUAGCUUCGCAGGAACAGACGCUUGGUUUUCUCAAGAUGGUAAUUGGCCGGCCGGGUUACCUCCCAGUGUGGGGCAAUAA